GGUCUUGUGGUCUAGUGGUAUGAUUCUCGCUUAGGGUUCAACCCUGAGUUUCAAAGUUUGCGAGAGGCCCCGCGUUCGAUCCGCGGCAAGACCC
Non-coding RNA from Ascosphaera acerosa, 94 nucleotides. The record is from the annotation of a GenBank genome assembly. Lineage: Eukaryota; Fungi; Ascomycota; Eurotiomycetes; Onygenales; Ascosphaeraceae.